CCUACGGGUGGCUGCAGUGGGGAGUAUUGCACAAUGGGGGAAACCCUGAUGCAGCGACGCCGCGUGAGUGACGAAGUAAUUCGUUACGUAAAGCUCUAUCAGCAGGGAAGAAACACUGACCUUACGGUCAGCAGACGGUACCUGAGUAAGAAGCCCCGGCUAACUACGUGCCAGCAGCCGCGGUAAUACGUAGGGGGAAAGCGUUAUCCGGAUUUACUGGGUGUAAAGGGAGCGUGGACGGUGCGCUGAGUAUGGAGUGAAAUGCCGCAGCUUAACUGCGGAACUGCUUUGGACACUUGCGAACGAGAGUGCGUGAGUGGUAAGCUGCAUACCUAGUGUAGCGGUGAACAGCGUAUAUAUUAGGAGGAACACCGGUGGCGAAGGCGGCUUACUGGACCGUAACUGACGUUGAGGCUCGAAAGCGUGUGGAGCAAACAGGAUUAGAUACCCUGGUAGUC
RNAcentral lists this ribosomal RNA (458 nucleotides) under uncultured bacterium. RNAcentral's name for it is "partial 16S ribosomal RNA". It matches the Rfam family "Bacterial small subunit ribosomal RNA", at positions 338 to 795 of the family's 1533-position model. The record is from RNAcentral.